This is a transfer RNA of 107 nucleotides. It matches the Rfam family "tRNA". Rfam says of the family: Transfer RNA (tRNA) molecules are approximately 80 nucleotides in length. The record is from Rfam.
GCCCGGCUAGCUCAAUCGGUAGAGCGUGAGACUCUUAGUUAUCACGUCCUAACAAGACACGAUUGUUUCAAAUCUCAAGGUUGUGGGUUCGACCCCCACGUCGGGCU